RNAcentral lists this ribosomal RNA (302 nucleotides) under uncultured soil bacterium. RNAcentral's name for it is "bacterial SSU rRNA". It matches the Rfam family "Bacterial small subunit ribosomal RNA", at positions 26 to 325 of the family's 1533-position model. The record is from RNAcentral.
AGAUUGAACGCUGGCGGCAUGCCUUACACAUGCAAGUCGAACGGCAGCACGGAGCAAUCCUGGUGGCGAGUGGCGAACGGGUGAGUAAUAUAUCGGAACGUGCCCAGUCGUGGGGGAUAACGCAGUGAAAGCUGUGCUAAUACCGCAUACGAUCUAUGAUGAAAGCGGGGACUCGCAAGAGCCUCGCGCGAUUGGAGCGGCCGAUAGUCAGAUUAGCGUACGUUGGUAGGGGCAAAAGCCCACCAAGGCGACGAUCUGUAGCCUGGUCUAGAGAGGACGACCAGCCACACUGGAACUGAGAC